RNAcentral lists this long non-coding RNA (44201 nucleotides) under Triticum aestivum (bread wheat). RNAcentral describes it as "long non-coding RNA (TAES_LNC026519)". The record is from RNAcentral. Lineage: Eukaryota; Viridiplantae; Streptophyta; Magnoliopsida; Poales; Poaceae.
AGUUAUGCUGAUUCUAUCCCACAGUUGAGAGGUCUGGUUAGAGCGUGCAUCAAUGUUGCUUUGGCCGUGGUUUGAGCCAAAUUUGAACUGAAAACUGACGCUACCGUAGCCUUUAAUACGACAGCAUCCGAAUGUAUUUUUACAGUUGUGCAUAGCUACCAUCUCUGGGGUUCUUGGAUCCAGACAUGCAGUGCGGCAUUUCAACGUGGUGGCAUUGUCUUCGACAGAGUAUACCUCCAUGCCACAGCUGGUAAUGUUUAGAACAAUGGACUCAAGAGAGAAGGAACCCCCAGGUGGUUUCAAAGAAUAGUUGUACACAUUGACACCAGAUUUCAUGUGGAUGGUAUGCAAGAAGGAGGCAUGGAUAGUGUUAUAAACAGAAAGAAGGUUGUCGAGUUUGAUCACCUCGGUGAUGCCAUCAUGCAAGAAGAGCUUGGGGGGCUGAGCGGUGUCGUUGCAAAUGAGGUUGAAGUCAGGCCCACGGGAGCACCUGGAUCCGAUGCCGAAGGGAUAGGCGAAGCUCAGGUUGCCGCAGCUCGUUGGGCAGCCAGCAAGUGUGCCACCGGUACGUGAUGGUUGCGCCCAGUUCCCCUCAGGGCUCUGCUGGCUUGUUACAACUCCAGAUGCUAGAGCCGUUGGCUGUCCUAGUGACCCGACUACCAACAGAUAGAACAUUAUCGGGAAGAUGCCCAUGAUCGAUCUACAGUUCCACACUACACCUUGCGCUAGAGAAGUUCAGGUCAGGCAGCAGUGGCUUCUCUUCUAGGUACCACUUUCAUGACUGCCUCCCUAAUGCAUAUAUAUCAAUGGUCACAGCUGAGCCAAGGAAGACAUGAAGAGGAUUCGUAUGGACGUCCAUGUGGUGUGCUUUGGUGGCAUGUGGAAGGAGAUGCCUCGUACAUGCCCAUGUGGAUGUGGCAGUGCUGGUACAUUUGAUAGGAUGUAAAGUAGAAGACCAUGACUAUCAGUCCGUGACAUUGUAACUUUGUAAGUCGUGCUGCAGGAAGAAAUCAACAAGUCUGUCUAUUAAUAAAGGAGCUAAUCUACGCCUGUUCCUGAUAAACCACGUUACAAAUUUCCCUCGUGGAUUUUCUGGGUUUCCAAAUGUUUGCUCUAGACAAGAAAGGCAUUAAAAAUGAGCACGCUAGAACGUGGCGAAAGCCUUUUUCAGUAAAUGAGCACGCUACAACAUGAAAAAGGGAACCACAGAUGAAACUCACCAGUAGUAGGUAGGCCAUCGGUAGAACGUGGAACCGUUCCAUGCAAACUGUUGUGAAUCUUCAGUCCCCACCUGGUGGAGACAGCCUAACUGAUAUGUUCCAACCAAGCUAGGUGACCAUAACUGAAACCAUCACCAACAUUAAGAAGCCAAAUUUAGAUAAGCUAGCAGAGCUAACUAAGCAACGGUAACUAAAGUCCAUUCCAAUUUAGGCGUUGCUUUCUCAAGAUGCAACCAAGAACACAGGGUAAACAUUGUGAUUGCUGGAGAUAAGCUGCAGACAAAGAAUCAGGUACAUGACUGCAAUGAUUAUUCUGAACAUAUUCCAAGAAUCUGGUUGGUCUGGUCCCUUGUGCGGGCGUUGUUCCAGCGCGGAGAAGGGCUACACAGCUCAAGUACGUGAGAACCUUUGAGUGCAAAGAAGACUUGAGCGCAAAGCUGAUGAGGCAUGUCGGAUCACCAAGCACUGUGUAGGAGCCAGGGGUUUCCCACCGUCGUUUCGUCCCACCAUUGCCGUUUGCUUAUGCUGCAACCAAGAAGCACAGCCAUGGUAAAAAAUCUGACACAUUUUUUUUUCGAAAAGGAGGAUUCCCCGGUCUCUGCAUCAGAACGAUGCAUACGGCCACAUUUAUUAAAAAGAGUAAACAAGGUGUUAAAGUCUGCAGACAAAAGGAUCGGCAAGCUCACACAGAGCCUCCAUGCCAAAACAAAAAGCCUAACAAGCCACAACCGGCUGGCAAAUUAACAGAUAGGUAAACUAAUCGCCUAUCCUAUUACAUGACCGCCAUCCAAACCGGUUGAAGAUAUCCCGCGCUACCAUCUCCCACCGGACAGAUCCAGUAACCAAACGCUUCCUGGCCUCCAUCGGAGUGAGUAAGGACCACAUACGGAUCAGCGCAGUAGCCCUGAAUAAAACCUGUAAAAAAUGAAUAGUUGUUGUUCUGUUAAAAGCCAAAUCAUUUCUGCAGUUCCAAAUUGCCCAUAACAACGCACAAACUCCUACACGAAUGUGUCUAGCUAUUUCGGAGUCUAUCCCAGCAAGCCACGUCCCGAAUAACGUGUUGACCGAAGUCAGGGGAGUAAUGUUAAAGGCAAUUUGUACAGAGCGCCACAAGCCUCGUGCCAACGGACAGUCAAAGAAGAGGUGCUUGAUGGUCUCCUCCCGAUCACAGAAACUACACCUAGUAAAACCUGUCCAGUUACGCUUAACUAGAUUGUCCUUUGUUAAAAUUACUUGUUUAUGUACAAACCACAUAAACACUUUAAUCUUUAAGGGGACCUUAACUUUCCAAACCUCUUUGGAACUAGGAAUCACAGUUGAGUUAAUAAUAUCAAUAUACAUCGAUUUAACUGUGAACUCCCCAGAUCUAGUAAGCUUCCACCACAACUGAUCGGGCUGAGGAUUUAACCGAACCCCCAUCAAUCUCCGAACCAAGUGAAGCCAUGCUUCCCAUCGUUCACCCACAAGCACCCUCCUAAACUGAAAAUUGAGCAGAAUGGACUGCAGAACGUGGCAACAAGAGCCUCACGGCGCUGAACAAUACGAUAAAGGGACGGAUACUGGGUCGCCAAAGGCGCGUCGCCAAGCCACGUAUCCUCCCAAAAUCGAGUGUCAUUACCAUUACCGACAAUACACCUAGUUCUGUUAAAGAAGGUGGCUUUGAUUCUCAUGAGCCCCUUCCAGAACGGCGAAUCAUUUGGUCUCAUAGUGACCUAGGACAAGGUCUUGGACUGCAAAUAUUUACUGCGUAGGAUCUGCGCCCAUGUUGCCUCCGUCUUAAGUGCCAACUUAUACAACCACUUACUGAGCAGGCAUCUAUUCUUGACUUCUAGAUUUUCAAUACCAAGCCCCCCCUGAUCCUUUGGUCGACAGAUAAUAUCCCAUUUGGCCAGUCGGUAUUUUCUCUUAAGUUCAUCACUCUGCCAAAAGAAUCGGGAUCGAUAGAAGUCCAGCCGUUUCCUAACCCCGACUGGGACCUCAAAGAAGGAUAAGAGGAACAUAGGUAAACUCGUGAGCACCGAGUUAAUAAGGAUCAACCGGCCUCCAUAAGACAUGAGUUUUCCCUUCCAGCAACUCAGUUUCUUCUCAAACCGAUCCUCUAUGCACUUCCACUCGCUGUUUGUUAGCUUACGGUGGUGAAUGGGAAUACCUAGAUACGUAAAAGGUAGAGCCCCAACUUCACAACCAAACAAUUGUCUAUAUGCCUCUUGUUCAUCUUUGGCUCUACCAAAGCAGAACAACUCACUUUUAUGGAAAUUAAUCUUAAGCCCCGUCAAUUGUUCAAAUAAGCAUAAUACUAACUUCAUGUUUCUUGCUUUGGCCAAAUCGUGUUCCAUAAAGAUGAUAGUAUCAUCAGCAUACUGCAGGAUGGACACACCACCUUCAACCAGAUGAGGCACCAAGCCACCCACCUGGCCGGCCUCUUUUGCCCUUCCUAUCAGGAUCGCCAACAUGUCCACCACAAUAUUGAAUAAUAUUGGAGACAUAGGAUCGCCUUGUCUCAAUCCCUUAUGCGUUUGGAAAUAAUGCCCUAUAUCAUCAUUCACUUUAAUUCCAACACUCCUUUUUUGCGUGAAUGCUUCCACCUGGCGUCGCCAAGCUUCAUCAAAGCCCUUCAUGCGUAAGGCCUGUUGAAGGAACGACCAUUUGACUUUAUCAUAUGCCUUCUCGAAAUCCACUUUGAAAAUAACCCCAUCAAGUUUUUUCGUGUGGAUCUCAUGGAGUGUUUCAUGAAGGACCACCACCCCUUCCAGGAUGUUCCUGUCCGGCAUGAACGCUGUUUGAGUAGGCUGCACCACGGCAUGCGCAAUCUGUGUUAGCCUAUUCGUCCCAACCUUGGUAAAAAUUUUGAAACUGACAUUCAGGAGACAGAUAGGCCGAAAUUGCUCGAUUCCCACGGCCUCUGUUUUCUUAGGAAGCAGGGUUAUUGUUCCAAAAUUAAGCUGGAAAAGCUGCAAAUGUCCCGAGAAUAAAUCAUGGAACAUCGGCAACAGGUCCCCUUUAAUAAUAUGCCAGCAUUUCUUAUAAAACUCAGCCGGGAAACCAUCCGGCCCGGGUGCCUUAUUAUUUUUCAUCUGGGAAACGGCCUCGAAAACCUCCUUUUCCGAAAAAGGGUCGAUUAAUAUAUCGUUCUCCACCGCAGUGAGUUGAGGUACAUCUUCGAUUCUAGACUCAUCCAGAGACACACAGUUCUCCUCUGGUGGUCCGAACAAACGUUUGUAGUACUCAGUAAUGUAAAGCUUCAAAUUAUCCUGCCCGAUAAUUGUACCCUCAUCUUGUUCUAGCUGGAAGAUUCUCUUCUUCCUAUGUUUGCCAUUUGCAAUCAUAUGGAAGAAUUGAGUGUUCGCGUCCCCCUCGACCACUCUUCGUACCUUGGCCCGCAGAGCCCACUUUAACUCUUCUUCCCGAAGCAGUUCUUUCAACCUCUUCUCAGCGUCAAGCUUAGUAUGAAACUCGUUGGCUGGCAACACCGUGGUUUCUGCUUUUACAUCUAAGGACUGAAUGAGGGCAAGGAGCCGUUCCUUCUCAACCCUAUAUAUCCCACUGAGAUGUUUAGCCCAACCACGUAGGAAACUUCUCAGAUGCCUAAUCUUAUUCUGCCAGCGCUCAAGCGCAUUCCUACCGCCUGCUUCCUUAGCCCAUUCUCUGGCUACGAUAUCCAGGAAGCCUUCUCUUUCAAACCACGCAAGCUCGAAUGAGAACAAAUUCUUGUUGCCCGAAUAGGUAGCCCCACCAGAGUCAAGAAAAAGAGGCGUGUGAUCAGAAAUCCCGCGAGAGAGAGCCUGAACAGUUACGAAGGGAAACUUCUGUUCCCAUUCGACACUUGCGAGUGCCCUAUCCAACUUUUCAAAUGUUGGAUUUGGCAUGGCGUUGGCCCAAGUAAACUUCCUACCUGAAAGCUCAAUCUCUCUCAGAUCCAAGCUUUCUAUGAUAGUGUUGAACAUAAACGACCAUCUCCCGUCAAAAUUAUCAUUGUUCUUCUCGUCACACCUCCUAAUAAUGUUAAAAUCACCCCCAACGAGAAUGGGGAGCUGCUCAGAACCACAAACUCUAACCAGGUCGGCCAGGAAGUCCGGUUUUAAUUCUGCCUACGCGGCGCCAUACACCGCCACCAGAGCCCAGUCAAAACCGUCGACCUUGGAUCGCAGACUGAAUUUUACAGCAAAAUCUCCCAUGACCACACUUCGAACUUCGAGAGAAUUGCAUCGAACACCAAGUAAGAUCCCUCCCGAUCUCCCUCGCGGCAGCAGACAAUGCCAGUCAAACUCAAUACCCCCCGAUAGAGUGUUAAGAAAGUGUGGUGAGAAAUUUGCUCUACCAGUUUCCGACAACGCAAUAAAAUCCAAUCUAUGCUCGACGGAUGCCUCUGCAAGAAAUCUUCUUUUAGCCAAGUCCUUAAGACAUCUGCUAUUCCAAAAGAUUCCUCUCAUAUCUCGUCGUGAAAUUUUUUAGCGGUGCGGAUCCUAGCACUCCUACGCACAGCAGACGUUGGGUAAAUCUUGCGCUUCCAUUUGCGCUUAGGGCCGGUCCUCUCAUCCACCCGGUCCUCACUCCCCGUUUCAGGGGGACCAACAACAUCCAUCUCUACACUCUCAUCCUCCUCCUCCGUCUCCGGGAGGGGAGGUGCGAGAUCGGCGCAAAAAUUAUCAAGCACCUGAACUCCCAAGGCAUCAAUCUCGGAAUCAUUCAUGGGUUUGACGGCAACUAAGUUUCGAACCAUAUCUAAAGCCCUCUCGGCUUCUAGAUCUAGCAAAUCAUUGAUGGAGUUAGAAAUUUCACCCUCAUUAUUACCUAGUGAAAUCCCUAGUUGGUUUGCAUUAUGAACAAUCUCAUCAUUCGAAAAAUGCAAAAUUGAAUUAGAGGUAUUGACCGACAUACCAGUAGUGACCUGGACGUCACGAAACUUGGCCGCCCUCACGGCGCACCGUUGCUGCAUGUCGUCCACCUCCGGACAGCCCUGAAGACGGCAGCUCAACCGUCGUCCCUCAGACGCCUAGUCCGGAAUCCCGCCGAACUGAAUAACCUCCUCCUGAGUGAGGUUGCCUGGGGAUUGACCGCCUGUCACCCCCCGAACCAGCAGCUGCUCCCCCCGGGUGGGAAAGGGCGCCGAGUCAACUGAUGGGGAACCAAAGGCCACCUGCCCCUGCUCCCCAUCCACCCCAGACCUUCGGUCAGUGGUGAUCGCCGGCGCCAACGGUGGGGCGGUCCCCCUGGGCGCGGAAGGUGGAGAGGGUCCCGGGGCCACCCGCCCCAAGCUCCCUUCAUAGGCCGGUCCGGCCACCUGCAAAAUCGGUCCAGCGACCGGUGAAGAAGGCGCCGAGGCCUGCCGCCCCGACCGCCCUCCCGAAGGUAUCUCCACCCUCUCGGUCACACCGACCUGAGUGAGAGGAGAAGUGGGCGCCGAGACCACCUGCCUCGACCCCCCUGCACAGCUGGGAACCAUCACCUGUAGUUCCGCCGUCUCAACACAAUCCGGCGAAAUCUCUAUCUCCGAAAUGUCCUCCGCGCUAGAAUCCUCCAUUCCCGGGCCCUCAAAGUCCAACGCGGGUAGAGAGUGCUCAAAAUCAUCAAAAGACUCCACUCGCUCGCUCCAAAGCCUGGGAGGUGCAGUAGCAGGCUCAAUAGAUCCAAACCUCAGAGUGGUAGACGGCACUGAAGCAGCAUGCGCCGUCCCAACUCCGGUCGUCUGAGCAUCAAACCCCGGUCUCUUGGACAUCUCUCGUCCAGGAUCAGUGGCCGGAGCCUCCUUAGCUCCUGCACUCUCAUCAUCGUCGUGCAUAUCAACAUCAGUGGCAGCGGGUGCCUCAGCAAACAAGUUGUCAUCCUCAAACUCAAUCUUAAGGUUGUAGACUUGGCCUCGAUAGGCCCACUUGACCACAUCAGGCACAAACUCAAUGUCCAAAAUGCUGACCAGUAAGCGAGCAACCCCAUGAGCUCUAGUAAAGGCCAUAUCCACACGGUCAGUCUUUCCCACCAUGAUGCCCAAACUCGCAACUACCCUAGCAUCCUGCAUAGGUUUGGAAGGAACUCCCGAAAACCGUAACCAAGCCUGGGUAAGAGGUGUACCCUGAGUUUCAAUCAACUUCCACUCGUGGAACUCAAGAAUGCCCUCAGUACCUGGCACUUUGCACAACCCAAAACUCAAGAGCCUCUGUAAAUCCUCCACUAUCGGGAACUCAACCCUGAACAAGUUCGCCUCUAGACUGACAAGCUCCCAAUGAAAAUCCCCUGGGGCCAGCUCCUGGAGCCGCUGCAAAAUCUGGGUCUCAGAGACUUCUCCUUUAGUUACUUUAACAAUCCCAGUUGUCACACUUUGAACCACAUCAGUAACCUCCCUCUCGGUCGGAGACUCAAAGAAUGUGAGUUCAGCACAAUACACACCAUACAUCAUAAGGUUCGGUACCUGCUCCCUCAAAAGCGGGCAAACCCCCGACUGGUGGGCUGGCUUGCCACACGAAUCGCAUAAAACAGCCACACACUCAACAAUGAAAUGGCCCUUAUCACCACAACGGUAGCAUAACAUCCUUCCUUUCUUGCGCGCAUACUUGGCUGCUCUGUCUUCUACCGACAUAGACCCACUAUCACCAUUAGCAGGGACCACCACGUCAGCCAGUGCCGUUACCACCUCCAUAGCCUAGCAAGACAACUCAGGUUCUGCAGAAACCUCGCCAACAGGUGUCUGGUCCACAAUAACAGGAUGCUGUCGUGGACGAUAACGGCCACCACGGUAACCUCGGCAACCACGGUUACCACGGAAGCCACCGCGGUUACGAUGAGCCGGUCCAGACGCCCCUUCGACGAAACCGCCCGUUGGCCCCAAGAAUGGCCUCUCGGCCAAGCCAUCGCUCUGUCCGGCAUACCCCCGUCCACCACCCGUAGACGAGGAUCCCCGGUGUUGUCCCUCUCCAUACGCAUUAUAUCCAUCAUCACCCCACUGUCCAUGAGGCGCCGAUUGAACAUCACCACUAGCAGAAACCUGCGGCGCCUGUGCUUGCUACAACACCGGCAGUGUCGAGUUGUGCGCCUGCCUUGCCACGAAGUGCGGCGGUCUAGCCCCGGGCUGAAUCGGCAACGGACGCUGGCCAUUAGAGGCCGGAGGAGGCGGCCUUGGGGUCGGGACACCGCGACCCGCGACAACCACAGGGUUCGGCACCGGCGGCCGAGGUCCACCCGACCCGCAGCAGGCUGCGGCAACACCGGCGUCGUUGGUCGAGCACCGGCAGCACCCAACCCGCGGCCUGCAGAGCAAGAUCCAGGCGCGCCACCAGCUAGAGGCGGUCUAGUGCCGCCUACUUCCGGCGCCGCCCGGCCGGUUCUAGAUGGCGCUCCGCCCCGGCCAGCCCCGAGCGGCACACCUGCGCCGCCGCAACCCGUCCCCGCAGGCAUACCGCCACCGCCGCGGCCACCUCCGGCCGGCAACGUUGGCCCUCCACGACCCGCAGCGCCCGUAUCGGCAGGCUUGGAAGGGGGCACUCCUCGACCGACCAUGCCGCGAAGAGGUGGGAUGCGCCUGGCACGCCCCGCACCACGAUCAGAGAAACUCGGUCGACACCCAGCGCCGCGAACCCUAGGUCUUUCCGAUCGACUCCACACAGGAGAAGCGUCGAUGCAUGGGGGUGUAGACGUACAUGCCUGGUUACACCGGGCCUCAUACCCGACGAACAUAUGCCCAGCCAUGGUCGGGCCCGGUUCACUCAAAACCGGCCCACCCCCAGGCGAACCGAACUGGCGGCCCAAGAGCGCGUUCAAACGCGCCUCCCGCAUGCCGGCGAUCCCGACCGGCCGCCCCGCCGGCAACUGCGCCGUGGCCGUCGCCGAACGCCGGGAUCCAGCAUCAGAAUUACUCGAUUUCUACUUCCUCUCAACUUUUAUCCACGAAUCCGGUCGAAUCAAGUCAAAAACGGUGAGGUUUGGAAGGCUAACCUUCGGAAGGGGUCCUUUCCAUGGCCGGACAGCUGUCGCCGCCGUUCUCCGAUGAAUGACGCGAUGCACCAUCUCCUUUCGGUCGUCCGCGUGUAGCCCAACCCUCGCCGGAUCGUCCACCGGCAAGAUCCUGUCCACCGUAGAGGCGACCUCAUCCUCAUCAUAGCCUGAAUGGAAUAACUCACAGAAUAAAUCAGAUGGCGUCGGCGUUGGCGGAGAGGACGUCGGCUCAUCCCCAUCCUCGUCCGCCUCGUCGUCUUCAGAUCCAGCCAGCGCCCAGAACUGGCCACCAACCCGUCGAUGGGCCACCGGCCCCAAGAGCCGAGGUCCGAUGAUCGCCGCACCACGAGUCUCGCAGGGUAUCCCGCCUUGUCGCCAUCCAUUCCUCUCGGAUUUCCAUGUAGCCUCGUUUCCGUCAAGUCAAUCAGCUCCGGUCUCUUCGGACGAAGAUCCACCUGUACAGAAUCAACAACCAGCACAUCAAAACCAUCAAUCUUGAAACGAUGCCCUACCUCGAUCGAGUCGCCGUCCGGCCAGAAGUCGCCGGCAAGGAUGUCAUUCUCCAAAUCGAAGAGAACCAGCCAACGUGAAUGCGGAGUAAAACGGACGCGGCCUUCAAUCCAGAUCCCAGGAGCCGUCUGGGCGCAGAAAUGAACACGCCAUUGCGUGAAAUUCCCCUGUCCCCGCCCGAUCUCAGCCGGGGAUCCGUAGUCAUCGCGCGAUCCCACCUCCGUCUCCUUUUCGCCCGACGUGAGGUCGGCCGGCUGUGGCGGGGCGGCCGCCGGGGCGCCGCCCGGCUCCGCCUCGAGACCCAUCCGCCCCUACCUAGCAAAAAAAAUCUGACACAUAGUGAUGUGCCCAUUUAACUACUGAAAAGAAAAGAGUAAAAAGUGGGACUGCUGGAAAUAAACUACUGACACAGAAUCAUGUACUCCCUCUGUAAACAAAUAUAAGACGUUCUAGGUUUUAGGUUGACCUAAAACGUCUUAUAUUUGUUUACAGAAGGAGUACAUCACAACCAAGGGAAUCACGACAUAAAAACCUCUAACCACUGAAAUGAAUUGAUGGAUCCGGAAGCAAGCAAACCAGUAACUCCAAUUUACACAUAAGCGGCUACCUGAGCUAAGUAACAGUAACUGAACUUCAUCCCCAAUUUUAGCUGGUGUUUGCUUAAGCUGCAACCGUGAGCAGAGAGUAAAAAUUAUGAUUGCUAGAGAUAAACUGCAGAAACAGAAUGGGCUGGUGUAAGUCUGUUCCUGACGAUGAUGAUGAUGAUGACUGUAGUACAUGCCCAUGUGGAUAUGUACCUGGACGUCAUAGUACUUAUACAAUGUGAAGGAGAUGACCGUGACCAUGACUAACAUGUCGCUUGCACAAGAAAUGCAUUACAAACAUAGAAAUGAGACCAAAGUUGAUGCCAAACAUACAGACUAAGUUACAGAAUGAAAAUGGGGAACCACACAAGAAACUCAAAAGCAGUAGAUAUUCCAUCAGGAUGACACGGAAUUGUGCCACGCAACCUGUUGCGAAUAUCAUCGUGCUCAUCAAUACCGGAAGCCAGCAUGCAAUCUUCUUCAGUCCCAAUCUGGUGGAGGCAAUCUAACUGAUAUCUUCCAACCGAGCCAGGUGAUAGUAACUGAACCCAUCACUAACAUUAGCUGGUGGCCGCCUAACCUGUGACCGAGGGAAUCACGAAGUAAAAAACUUGAACCACUGUAGAAGCAAACCAGUAACUCGUUUUUUUUAGAGGACAUUAACUGAAGUCCAUCUUCAAUUUAGUUGUUGCUUGCUCAAGCUGAAACCAAGGCCACGCGACAAACACUGUGAUUGCUGGAGAAAAAACUACAGACAAAGAAUCAUGUACCUGACUGAUGUUUGCAAUGAUUAUUUUGGAAAAAUUUCAAGAGUGGUGGGUCUGGAACCUUGUGCGGGCAGUGUUACAAAUCUGAAGUACAGUAGUAUGUAAGAAAGAAUCUUGAGCGCAAAGCUGAUGCGGUGUGUGACAUCUUGUUGAGUGCAAAAAAGACUUGAGCGCAAAGCUGAUGCGCUAUGUCACAUCACCAUGCACCGCGAGUACGAGCAUGUCACGGGUGCCAACAUUCGGUUUCCCACUGUCGGUGUUUGCUUAAGCUGCAAUCACAUAGAGACACAUUGAGAAGUAAAAAUUCUGAACACAUGCAGAUAAACUACAUACAGACACAUUGAUCAAGUAAAAGAAUAACAGGAAAUGGGCACCUGUACAUGGAGAAAAAUGGAUUCAGACGGAGAACCACUGAAGAAAACCCAAUUAGUGCCUGGAAGAGAUUGCUUGGCUACCGCUCAAACUCGGGAUACAUACAUAUAUAUGCAUCUCAUUUCUUCGCUGCAGAUAAACUGCAGAAAUAAAAUGUGCUAAUGUUAAUCUGUUCCCGAUGAUGACGAUGACUCUAGUACAUGCCCAUGUGGAUGUGUACCUGGACGUGGCAGUGGCGUACUUGAUACAGCGUGAAGGAGAUGACCAUGCAUGGCCGUGACCUCAUACGCCAUGCCGCAGGAAGACCUCAGCAAGUCGGUCCAUUAUAGGUGGGCAAGUCAUGGUCUGUUCCUGAUAAAUCACGUCGCACAUCUCGCUUGCGGAUUCCCAAUUGUUUGCUCGACACAAGAAAGUUCAUGCCAACAUACAGAGGAAACCAAAGUUCAUGCCAAACAUGGAGAGGAAAUUACAGCAUGGAAAUGGCAGACCGCACAAGAAACUCAGAAGCAGUAGGUAGGCCAUCAGGAGUGCUCGUCAACAGCGGAAGCCGGCUAGUAGUCUUCAGUCCCCACCUGGUAGAGACAACCUAAACUGAUAUUUUCCAACCGAGCUAGAUGACAGUAACUGAAUCCAUCACCAACAUUAGCUGGUGGUCGCUUAACCUGCGACCGAGGGAAUCACGAGGUAAAAAACUCAUAACUGCUCGAGAUGGAUUUAUAGAUUCAGAAGUAAGCAAAACAGUAACACUCCUUUUUAGAGAGAGAGAGAGAGAGAGUAACACAAAUUUUUGAUAAGCUAACUGAGCUAAGCAACAGUAACUGAAGUUCAUCUCCAACUUAGCUGCUGCUUGCUCAAGCUGCAAGCAAGAGCAGAGGGUAAACAUUGUGAUUGCUGGAGAUAAACUACUGACAAAGAAUCAUGUACAUGACUGGUGUUUGCAAUGAUUAUUUUGGAAGUUUUCCAAGAAUCUGGUGGGCUACACAUCUGAAGUAUGUAAGAAAGAAUCUUGAGCGCAAAGCUGAUGCAGUGUGUGACAUCUUGAGUGCAAAAAAGACCAGAGCACAAAGCUGAUGUGGUAUGUCAAGUCACCGUGACCGUGUACGAGUUUCUUGUGGGUACCAACGUUUCUUGUGGGUGACAUCAUACUCAGUCUUGCGAGGACAUUCAUCGAUAUCUGUGGGUACAACUAAAACUUCCUUUGGUAUUAUGACAGAUCCCUUUACAUUUGUUCGGUUGUAGGCAUUCAUUGAUAUCUGAAAUGAACAAAAUUCUAACAAAACAAACUAGAAUUAGGGAAAUAAUAUCACUGUCUAAUAAUAAUAAGCAACUUUUUGAAAUAGCACAUGUUUUUAUACAUCUGUAAAAUUAUCUUUGAGGCAGUUAACAGAUAGCUAGUAGUACAUUUCUAAGCCUACAGAGGGGGCGAUACCUUGACAACCGGUUUGGAUGUAUGGAUUUCCUUUGAAGCCAUCUGAGCAUUUGCAACAGUAACCAAUAUAUACUCUAUGAACAGAAUCGAGGUCUUUAACACUUACUUCCACACACUUGCUGUUGAUACUCACGCAAGCAUAUCUAGAGCUAUUCUGCUGGGCCUCUAAACAACUUAGAUUAGCAGCAACCCAUUGCGCAGAGGAGAAUGACCCAGGAAUAGGAAAAACAAAAUUUUCAGUCAAGCUGUAUAUCCCUUGUUGGUCAAGACUGGUGACAUUAACGGUCCCUUCGUCAAUAUUUAUGCCGAUGACCUGUUUCGCCUCCAACAAGAUCAGGGCAGCUGAUGACGUCGUAUUUGUGCAGUUGAGGUGAAAAUCUUCACUUGCAAAGCAACCCUCUUCUAAGCCAAAUGGGAAUUGCACACUAACGUUACCACACCAACGGGUGCAAUCAGCCCUGCUCGGAAUUGGAUUAUACCCUAGUUUGAUCAGUCAAAAGUUAGCGCAAAAUUCUUAAUAGUUGUAUGUUUGGUCGCCAGAUUAGGAAAAGAGGAUUUACCUCUGUUGUCGAGUGUUGUUAGGCCGAUGGAGGGUAUAGUUUAGAUAUUGGAGUGUCAAGAGGGUGUUACUUGUAAGAGUGUGCUGCUGUAAAAUAUCUGUACAGAGAAAGGAAAGGGUGAGCUUCCAGAGAAAUCUCCUGUCCAUUCCUCUCGCGAGUUACUGUAGCUCAGGCAAUCCUCCAGUGAAAUCAACAUGGCAUCAGAGCAGGUUGGCGUUCCGGCGGCGGCGUAGUCCCUCGCCGGCGAGGUGGCUGGGCCUGGCGGGGUCAGGAGAGAGAGGAGGCUGCUCGUGCGCGUGCGGCGGCGAGGCGGCAGUUCUGAGCGCGGGCUGCUGGAGAGGGGAGCGGCUGCGAGCGCGCGGCUGCGGCAGACGAAGAGGAGGCGUGGUAGCGCGCGGUUGCACCAGAGGACUCACGCAGCGGAGCUGGAGAAGAAGGCUGCGGGCUGGUUGUGUUCUGCUGCGGGCUAGGUGCCGCUGGACUGCUGUUUCUGCUGUCUGAAGGAGUGUGUUCUGCUGUUGCUGCUGAGAAGUGCUCUGCUGUUCUGCUGCUACUGCUACUGCUGUGCUGCUGGAACUGCUGUCUGAAGGAGCGAUUUCUUGCUGGAUUGAGUAGGUGUUGUGUUACUUGUCUGUUUGCCUGUGCGGAGAAGAGAAGAUACGCAUGUAGUAUUGCAGGGUGGAGUAUUUGUGUGGUCCUUGCAGCAAGGGGGAGCUCAUCAGGUGAUUCAGAGUGAUGGGUGAAAAAUCAAGUGCCUCUACUAUGUUGUGUGUUGGUGAACUUGCAGCACUGCUACAGAGAUAAAAAUUAUAAGAUUCUGGAUAAAAUGAUGGGCAAGCAAGGGAAGAGGUCAAGGUCAAUGAACACAGAAGAGAAAAUUUGUUUCUGGUGUGGACAGUCAGGACAUGUGAGGGCAUCUUGUCCUGAAUUGAUCCGAGAAGGUUGUGGAGAUGGACAUAACAGGUAUAACAGAGGACGUGGUCAUGGUUUCGGUAUGUGUGAUGGUGUUGCAAAAUCUUGGCAGAGAAAUGGGGAUUGGCUGUGUCCAAAUGCAAACUGUGGAAAUGUAAAUUUUGCUUUCCGCAGAAUCUGUAAUCUUUGUGGAGUUACACGACCAGCUGGUGAUAGUGGAACCACACAGCUUGUGAGUGUGAGGAUGACUGCAGGAGAUAUGGUGAAGUGGCAGUGGUUUAAAAAGAUGAGUUCAAGUGAAAACUCUUCAAAAGAAGCACCUGUUUCUGCUGUUUCUGCUGGUCCCUGGACUAAUACUUCUAAAGCGGUAAGUUGCGAUCGACCAUGGUUAAUUGAUUCUGGUGCAUCAAGACAUAUGGUGGGAUCCUAUGAGGACUUCUUAAAAUAUGCACCUAAUGUGAUGGGGCAGGAUGUGAAGUUGGCAGAUGGCUCUACCCAAGCUAUUAUGGGAUCAGGGACUGUCAUAUGUGGACCUAAUAUGUCUCUGUCCUCUGUUUUACAUGUUCCCUCAUUCCCAAUUAAUCUAUUAUCUAUCAGUUGUAUUACAAAGGAACUUAAUUGUGCUGUAGUUUUCUUCCCAACUUGGUGUUUGUUUCUGCAACUUGGGACUUGGAAAAUCCUUGGGACAGGAAUUAUGCGAGAUGGUCUAUACUACUUGGAUGAUGAUAUGACACCUAUGGCUGCUGCUGUGCUGUCUCGGUCACCAUUGGAAGAAUUUCUUCUUCAUCAUCGCAGGCUGGGACACAUGUCCUUUAACACCCUGGGUCAGUUGUAUCCUAACCUCUAUAAUAAUAUUUGCAAAGAAAUCCUAGUAUGUGAUGCCUGUCAGUAUGGGAAGCUAACUCGUAGUAUAUAUGCUUCAUCUGAUCACAGAAGUACGGUGCCAUUUCAAACUAUCCACUCAGAUGUGUGGGGUCCUAGUGGAGUGUGGUCACUUUAUGGGUACAAAAUUUUUGUUACAUUUAUUGACUGUUGCACUAGGACUACUUGGGUUUAUGUACUGAGAAAUAAAAGUGACGUGUUUGAAUGCUUUAAGGAUUUGCACAACUUAAUCAAAAAUCAAUAUGAUGCACGGGUGAAAAUAUUUCGAACUGACAAUGGUACAGAAUAUGUAAAUAACCAAUUUAAUGAGUAUUUGUCAAGCUUUGGAAUUAUCCAUCAAACUAGUUGCCCAGGUACUUCCCAGCAGAAUGGGUUGGCUGAAAGGAAGAACAAACAUCUCUUAGAAAUCACCCGGUGUAUCAUGUUAGCUAUGAAUGUUCCUAAAUAUUUAUGGGCUGAAGCUGUGAUGACAGUGGCUUAUUUGAUGAAUAGAAUGCCAUCCCGGGUGCUCAAUAACAAGACACCAAUUGAGUGUCUAACUGGUGAAACUACAUAUGUUGUGCCACCAAAGGUAUUUGGGUGUGUAUGUUUUGUGAGGGAUCAUAGACCAUCGGUUGGCAAGCUUGAUCCUAGAGCGGUGAAAUGUGUAUUUGUGGGAUACUCUGGAAAACAAAAGGGUUAUAAAUGUUGGUGCCCAUCAGAAAAACGGAUGUUUGUGAGCAUGGAUGUAGUAUUCAGGGAACAUGAACCAUAUUAUGGGGAACCAGUAGAUUUAACCGAUGUCUUUCCUGAUGAUGUCACAGGCCUGGAUAACGAGACAGGGGGAGAUGACAGCAGAGAAGACAAUGAUGUAGCACCAGAGAAGAUGAUAGUUGGGGUUAUACCUAUUGAAGAUUGGCGAGACGAUGCAGUGCGAGAACAUGAACAGAGGGAACAACAAAGUGACUCUAAUGGAGCAUUGCAAUGGCCAAAACCGAAUGAGGAACGAGAAGUUCAAGUGUUUACACGGAGGAAUAGAUGACCAAAAACGAAUGAGGAACGAGAAGUUCAAGUGUUUACAAGGAGGCAUAGAAUUGAGAAGGAGCAAGUGCAGAGGCAAGAACCUAACCCACUGGAGUGUGGUACAGAAACUCAAGAGCUUACUGAUACACAUGAUUUAGAUGAUGGUACGCUUCCUCAUUCUCUUCCACAUGAGGAUUUAGAUGCUCCUAUUGCUCUUAGGAAGCAGCCCCGCACUACUGCUGGAAAAUUACCAUCAAAGCUAUCUCCAUAUGAUGUCUCAAAUUAUGUGUCAUAUGCAUCCUUGGGUUCCAAGUAUAAGUCAUUCGUUGUAGCUUUAGAUUCUAUAGAUCCUAUACCACAUGACUGGCAAGUAGCAAUAAAGGACCCAAGAUGGAGAACGGCAAUGUUUGAAGAGAUGGAAGCACUUGACAAAAAUAAUACUUGGAUUCUCACCACUAUUCCUACAGGGAAAAAGACUGUGGGUUGUAAAUGGGUAUUCACAGUAAAACAAACUCCAGAAGGUAAAGUGGAGAGGUAUAAGGCCAGGUUAGUAGCAAAGGGAUAUAGCCAAACCUAUGGAGUAGAUUAUGAUGAAACGUUUGCCCCAGUAGCAAAAAUGAACACCAUCAGAACAAUAAUCUCAAUUGCAGCAAACCGUAAUUGGAAAUUGUUUCAAAUGGAUGUUAAAAAUGCGUUCCUCCAUGGAGACUUGCAGGAAGAGGUGUAUAUGGAGAUUCCUCCAGGAUUCAAUAGCUGUGAGACUGAAGGCAAGGUUUGUAAACUAAAAAAAAAAUCCCUCUAUGGUCUAAAACAAUCACCUCGAGCAUGGUUUGGAAGGUUUAGAAAAGGAAUGUGCUCCUUGGGAUAUCAACAGAGCAAUGCUGAUCACACUCUCUUCUUUAGACGUCAUCGUGAUAAGAUUACUAUACUGACUGUAUAUGUUGAUGAUAUAGUAAUCACAGGGGAUGAUGUUGAGGAGAUAUCAUACUUGAAGAAGAUGAUGGCUAAAAUAUUUGAAGUUAAAGACUUGGGCUAUCUUCAUUAUUUUCUGGGGAUUGAAGUUGUUUAUGGGGCACAAGGUAUUUACCUCUCUCAAAGGAAGUAUGCACUUGAUCUUCUUAAUGAAACAUGUAUGUUAGGAUGCAAACCAGCGGCCACACCUAUUGAGCAAAAUCAUCGUACCUUGGCAGACUCAGGUGACCCCGUAGACAAAUACCAAUAUCAGAGGUUAGUUGGCCGUUUAAUCUAUUUAUCGCACACAAGGCCAGAUAUUGAAUAUGCAGUUAGUGUUGUAAGCCGUUAUAUGCAUGAUCCUCGUUCAGGCCAUCUAGAAGUGGUAAAUCGAAUUUUGAGAUAUCUAAAAGGCUGUCCAGGGAAGGGAAUCUUAUUUUCUAAUCAUGGACAUUUGAAGGUAGAGGGAUAUGCUGAUGCAGAUUGGCUGGAUGUCUAGAUGAUAGACGAUCUACAUCAGGUUAUUGUGUGUUUGUUGGGGAUAAUCUAGUUUGUUGGAGAAGUAAAAAGCAAAAUGUGGUGGCACGAUCUACUGCUGAGGCAGAAUUCAGGUCUAUGGCUUCUGGUUUAUGUGAACUGAUGUGGUUGAGGAUAUUACUAUCUGAGCUCGGUCUAUUUGAUGGAGGACCACUACAACUCUAUUGUGAUAACCAAGCUGCAAUCAAUAUAGUGCACAAUCCAGUUCAGCAUGAUAGAACUAAGCAUGUUGAAAUUGAUAGACAUUUCAUUAGAGAGAAGUUAGAUGAGGGGAGCCUUCGUGUUACUUUUGUUAGAUCUGAUAGUCAAUUGGCAGAUGUACUUACAAAAGGUGUUAGUGUUGUGUCUUUUGAGAAACUAUGUAGCAAGAUGGGGCUAAUAGACUUAUUUGCCCCAUCUUGAGGGGGAGUGUUGUUAGGCCUUUGAUGGAGGGUAUAGUUUAGAUAUUGGAGUGUCAAGAGGGUGUUACUUGUAAGAAUGUGCUGCUGUAAAAUAUCUGUACAGAGAAAGGAAAGGGUGAGCUUCCAGAGAAAUCUCCUGUCCAUUCCUCUCGCGAGUUACUGUAGCUCAGGCAAUCCUCUAGUGAAAUCAACAUCGAGCUUGGAGCAACCAUCUGGAAAGUAGGGGUUGCCUGUAUAGCCAAUGCUGCACAUGCAGUUGUAGCCAUGGCUUCCGUUAAAGCACUCGGCAUGCUCGCUGAUACAUGCAUAGUCUGCCUUGUUUUUCUUGGCAGCAACGCAGUUGGAUUGGUCGACUAUCUGCCACCAUAGCAGAAGGCCACUCGGCCCAUCACUAGCUAUGUUGAUUCUAUCCCACAGCUUAGAGGUGUGGUUAGAGAGUGCAUCAAUGUUGCUUUUGCUGUGGUUGUUGACAAGUUUGAGGUGAAAACUAGUGUUACCCUCCAUAUAAAGAUGACAGCAUCCGGAAGUACUUUCACAGUGCUGCAUAUCAACCUGGUGCCAUCAUCUUCGACAGAGUAUAUCCCGAGGUCACAGCCCGUAAUGUUUAGAAUAAUGGUCUCACGUGAGAAGGAUUUCCCAGGCAGUUACAAAGACAAGUUGUAGACAACUAGACACUGACACCAGGUUGCAUAGGGAUGGUAUGCGAGAAGGAGGCCGCGAUGGAGUUACUACCAGAAAAAGAUUCUUCAAAGCUAAUCACCUGGGUGAUGCCAUCACGCAAAUACAGUCUAGGGGAAUGCGCGGUUUCGUUGCAGGUGAGGUUGAAGUCGGCCCCCCGGGAACACAUGGAUCCGAUGCCGAAGGCGUAGCCGAUGCUCACAUUUCCACAGCUCUUUGGGCAACUGUGGAGCGUGCCAUGUGAGGGUUGCACCCAGCCUCCUGCAGGGUUGUAACUUGUUACGCCUCCUGAUGCUAGCGCAGCUAGCUUUCCUCGUGACCCGAGUACCAACAAAGGGAGUAGUGCAUAGAUCACUGGCAAAAUGCUCAUGAUCCACACCCCCUUUCACAGCUCCCAAUUGCACUUGAGAUUCAGUUUAGACAUCAGUGUAUGUAUUUGAGGAUUUCACAGUGUUGUGAAGUGAAUGGCUCAGGGGGGCCUUCUCUUAUAUGGCUUGCUAGUGGAAACAUAUGGUGAUACUUGUCCCAACUAACAAGACAUGGUGGAGAACAAGAAUGGUACUCCCUCCGUUUUUAAAUAUAUAUAAGACCUUUUAGAGAUUUCAAUACGCACUACCUACGAAUGUAUAUAGACACAUUUUAGAAUGCAGAUUCACUUAUUUUGCUUCGUAUAUAGUCUAUAUUGAAAUUUUUAAAAGGUCGUAUAUUUAGAAACGGAUGGAAUACGCACCAGGACUCCAGAAGACGUUGACGCGCUUGAUUUGGCCACACUCCACUACUUACUUGUGGAAGUUUACGUGGUUGACUUGGCCACAUUCCAAUACUUGUUGUUGGUCGCAUAAAAUGGACGUCGCAAGUCAGUCUGAGUUGGCUUGACCACAGAGUGCGCAAUCUGUGUGAGACGAUUAGUAUUCAUUUUAAGAAAAAAAAACAUAGAACUAACAUUAAGCAAAUAAAUUGAUCUGAAUUGUUCAUUGCGAACUGCCUCUUCCUUCUCGGGCAGCAGAGCAAUUGUCCCAAAGUUAAGUUUAAAAAGCUGAAGCUGCCCAUUAAGCAUAUCNNNNNNNNNNNNNNNNNNNNNNNNNNNNNNNNNNNNNNNNNNNNNNNNNNNNNNNNNNNNNNNNNNNNNNNNNNNNNNNNNNNNNNNNNNNNNNNNNNNNNNNNNNNNNNNNNNNNNNNNNNNNNNNNNNNNNNNNNNNNNNNNNNNNNNNNNNNNNNNNNNNNNNNNNNNNNNNNNNNNNNNNNNNNNNNNNNNNNNNNNNNNNNNNNNNNNNNNNNNNNNNNNNNNNNNNNNNNNNNNNNNNNNNNNNNNNNNNNNNNNNNNNNNNNNNNNNNNNNNNNNNNNNNNNNNNNNNNNNNNNNNNNNNNNNNNNNNNNNNNNNNNNNNNNNNNNNNNNNNNNNNNNNNNNNNNNNNNNNNNNNNNNNNNNNNNNNNNNNNNNNNNNNNNNNNNNNNNNNNNNNNNNNNNNNNNNNNNNNNNNNNNNNNNNNNNNNNNNNNNNNNNNNNNNNNNNNNNNNNNNNNNNNNNNNNNNNNNNNNNNNNNNNNNNNNNNNNNNNNNNNNNNNNNNNNNNNNNNNNNUAGCCUCAAAAUUAGCCUCUCUUUCUGUAAAAGAAGCUUUAAGCACAUCACUCAUUCUCAUCGGCCCGAUGUUGUGCGAUAUCCCCCCACCCUUCCUUCAUAUAGGGACACAAAACUAUCUAACGAGGCCCCGAAGAGCUUUUUAGUGGCUUGUUAGUCAAAAUAAAUGACGACACUUGACCCAACUAACAAGACAUGGCGGACAACAAGACUCCAGUAGACGUUGACGUGGUUAAUUUGGCCACACUCCACUACUUACUUGUGGACGUGGAGGUGGUUGAUUUGGCCACACUCCACUACUUACUUGUUGCCAGCCGGUCGCACAGCAAUGACCUCCCAAGUCAGUUGGCCAAUGCCUGCCUUCUUGUGAACGUUACUCUAGCCCAUCAAAGGGGGCACUGACAAGUCUUUGAAAUCGCAUCGCAUUGUUUUGGUUUGUGCUUCGUGCUGCACAGAGAAAAAAAUUGCCAGCAUGCAUGACACGAAUCUCAUGCCAAACUUGCAGUCUGCAGAGUAGACCAACCAUACAUACCAGCAGCAGCGAGUCCUUGCUGUGCAUGCAGAACUGCGGUAUGAAGAUGUCAAAUUAACCACGGAGGCAUGCGUCCAGUUCUUGAGAGGCAUCCUCUGUCUGCCCCGAGGACAUCGGAGGUGGCGGGUGGAGUGGGCGAGCAGCGGGGCGCGAUGGGCUACCGGACCACCAUGGAGCGCGCGCGUCCUCUUGGACGACGCCGACGGAGGCGGCGAGCUGCCGCGCACGUACGGUGCGGCGUCAGGUACCAAGGUACGUACAAUGGAGGGAGCUAAUGGAUAGUGGGAGGGAGAUACCGAGGCACCAACUGGAAGAAAGAAGGUGCGCGCUCCCGCACGCCGGAGGCGAGGGGAGGGGAUGGACUGCCUGGCCAUGACGAUGGUCGCCGCGCAGUUUGGGCCCUCCGCCGCUGUACUCUCCUCCAUCCAGCCAGCGAGUCCAUCCUGGGCCGGGUGAUGACCAAACCCAUAUAAUGCAGCUCGGACCUCGCCAAAGCGGGAGCUCCUAUUGGACGCUCUUUGCGUCAAAUUGGCGGCCAGACGCACAGGCGCAGCUCGACUGGGCCGGCCCGUGAAGCUUCACCGCGGGACGAAAAAGAUGGCAAAAAAGAAAGGCAGGCGCAACGACGAUUCCAACUUGUGACCAAGUGCUUGAGACCGCGCACACGUCGCCAACCCAGUAGACUAGUACAGUUUUCUCAAAAAAGAAAGUAGACUAGUACGGUUGGUUAAAGAGCAGCCUAUCUGUUAAAGAACUAAACCUGACUUGUGCACUGUAGCGAACAAGAACCAAUUACUGUAGCGAACCCAAAAUUACUUGUUGUAUUAAAUGUUUUUUAAGUAUACUUUCUUUCAAUGUGUCUCUUUAAAAAAGUGCGCACAUUUUUUGAAUUCAUGAAAAAAAAAUAGAGACAGGAACAUUUUUCGAAUAUAUGAACAAAAAAAAUUAAAAAGUCAGAUUUUUUUGUGAUAACUUGAAAUAUUUUUUGAGUUUAUGAACAAACUAUGAAAUUCCGAACAAAUUCGAAACCAUGUGAACAUUAUGAAAUUCCAAAGAUGUAACCACAACCUUUUUUUGAAUUUAUGAACAAAUUAUGAAAUUCCAAACAAAUGUAUAACUUCGGACAUUUUUUGAAUUUGUGAACAAAAAUUGGAUAAAUGGAACAUUUCGUGAUAUUCCAAACAAAAAUUCAAACAGCGAACAUUUUUUUAAUUGGUGAACAAAAAAUAAAAAAUGGAAUAUUUCAUGAAAGUAUGAACAAAAGUUUAAAACCACAAACAUUUUUCGAAAUUUCUUGAACAUUUUUAAAAUUUGUAUCCAAAUUUUGAAAACGUGAACAUUUUUUGAAAAUGCAAAUAAUUUUUUUGAAGAACAAGAACAAUUUUCCAAAAAUGGGAACAAAUGUGAAAUUCCAAAACAUUUUUGAAAGUUUGAACAAAUUUGAAAACACGGACAUUUUUCGAAAAUCAUGAGAAAAUUUUGGAAAAUGGGAAGAAAUGUGAAAUUCCAAAACUUUUUGAAAAUUUGAACAAAUUUGAAAACGUAAACAUUUUUUGAAAAUCACGAACAAAUUUUGAAACACCGAACACAUUUUGAAACACAAACAAAUUUUGUAAAUUUUUUGAAAAGAACGAAAUGUUUUUUGAAACCUGAACAAAAGAAUCAAACAUUUUUUAUAAAAAGCCAAAUAAAGUAUUGAAUAUAUUGAAUUAUUUUUUGAAAAUGCGAUAUUUCCAAAACAAAAAUAAAAGAAAGAAAGAAACAGGAAAACGAAAAAACGUGAAAGAAAGAAACAAAUAAUAGCAGACCUCUUUGCAUGUAUAAGACUCUAGUGUUGUUAAGCUCGAGUGGCUAGAUACGCAUCUCCAGGAGUAGGAGGUUUGAGGUUAGAUUCCUCCCUCUCUUCAUUUUUAGAGCGAUUUUCUCUGUAGGAAGCAUUCGACAUGGGCUGCCCCACGAACGGUCGAUGGGUGUGCGACAGGUCGACAUUUUGGCGCAAAAUGCGGCGAAUAGGGUUUUCCAACCGAAGCGGCCGCCCCAUUACAGCGAGGUUCUGCUGAAGCGCCUACACCGUAGCCCGAUACUGCAGUGCCUAAUUCUGUAGCGGGCAUUUUUAGGAAAAAAAACUUGAUACUGCAGGUCUUUUGUAGAAGAUGAACAUUCUUUGAAACACCUGAAAGAAACUAAAAUUUUGAUUUGUCUAAUAAAACAUGAAACUUUUUGAAAUUUCAAAUAUAUUUUAUAAAGACGAAAAAAAAUUAAAUUGUAAAAAAACAGGAAUAAAAUUUGAUUUUGUUAAUUUUUGGAUUUCCUUCAUUUUCUUAAAAUGCGUUUUUAAACUCUGAACCUUUUGGAAUUUUCCAAACAUUUUUUUAAAAACAUGAACGAACAUUUUAGUUGUUAAUAUUAUUUUUAAAAAUAUUAACAUUUUUAUUGGAAAACAUGAACAAAGUUUUGGAAUCUAAAUUAUUUUUUAUAAAGCGAUCAAUUUUUUAUAUUAGUGAUUUUAUGAAAAAACAAAACAGUCAAAAAUAGAAAAAACCUAAAAAACACAGGAAAAAAAGUCAAUUCAAGAACCUUCUAAAAGGUUUCCAAUGACGGUAAAAACCUAAGCCGAAACUUGCCAGAAGGUUCUCGAAACUGGAACCAACGUGCACAACUUAGAAACGUCAAAAUGGGAUGGCCUAGCUCGGUGCGCUGGGUGCAUUUCAACAACAAUUUGAUGCAACGAGUGUCAUACAUGGUUUUCCAACCCAACCCUCCUAUCUGCAUCUACAGUCUAGGAAAAUGGCGUUUUUUUAGAGAUGCGUGAGGUUUCCAGAGAACUGCAGCCAUCACUAUCGGAGAAUUACGGUCUCCUCGUCUUUGACUGCCAUCUCGGCGCUGAGAGGUGAGGGGACGUCGGAUGUUAAGAGUUUGAUAAUCUUUGCUAGUGUCUAGUGACGAUCAUAGUUUUGUGAUAAUAAGUUAUUAUCAUUCUUUUUGGCGGUGUCGUGAAGAGACAAAUUUGUGUCCUUGCUGAUCUGAUUUUGAUGUUUAUGUUUUUUUGUUGGUGUGCUUCUUUGUGGAGUUGAAAUAUUUCAUCGACACCAAUGGUGAAGAUAUUGUGAUUCGACAGCUUACACUUCUAGGGGAUCGUCGCUGGCCCAAGUGUGUUCAGCGCUCAAAGCUUUCCGUCUUUUUGGAUGGACGACUCAAGGGGCUUUUAGAAAUCUUUAUUGGUAAUCAAAUUUGUGCGGAUGAAAGAGUGAUAAAAUCAUUUCUCCGGUCUUAUUGCAACCUCUUUAUCAAGUCUUGGGAGUAUUUUGUCUUGCAAAUAUUGAUACCAUGGAUAAGUUUAUCCUUCGUAGCAUGGCCAAAGAGGGAUAACCUAUAAGGCUAUGAACACAACAAUAUAUGUGUCAUAAAUUUGGCACUUCAGCGAUGCCCAGAGGCCGCACCAGUGGCUAGUCUCACCUAUUCAUCUCCAAAGAGUAAAUAUGGGAACCGUUUGGACUGAAAGAUAGUUUUUCGAUUGGUUUUUGAUUGGAUUGAGAAGCAAACCAGUUGGGUUUGGUUUGGUUUGUGCCUAAGAAUGGGCUGAAUAGGUUUGGGUUGGGUUUCAGAUUUUUCGGUCGUCCCAGGUGAAGCUAUAUAUGUGGAGCCCCACAUCCGGCGGUAUGCGUACCGCAGCCACGGUGAUCAUAUCGAGAUUCAGGACAAGUGCCACACACGUGUCGGGAGAGAAGAACGGCACGUUGAUUUUCAGUGGCAGCAACUGCCAUGGGCACAUUGUCAACCUGAAAAAGACUUGUCUUGCACUCAAACAUGGAGAUACUAAUCCAAUUAGUCGCGUCUGCUAGAGACGAGCAAUGUGACGCUCUGUUGCAAGGACGAUUUUUUUUCUUAAAAAAGAUGUUAUCCCCUGGCCUCUGCAUCAAAAUGAUGCAUGCGGCCUUCUUAUUAAUAAGCAAAUAGUUCAACAAAAUCUUCAGGUCUCAAAAAGCAAAAUAAGCUCCCAAAAAGCAAAACAACAUGAACCAGGCAGGGCNNNNNNNNNNNNNNNNNNNNNNNNNNNNNNNNNNNNNNNNNNNNNNNNNNNNNNNNNNNNNNNNNNNNNNNNNNNNNNNNNNNNNNNNNNNNNNNNNNNNNNNNNNNNNNNNNNNNNNNNNNNNNNNNNNNNNNNNNNNNNNNNNNNNNNNNNNNNNNNNNNNNNNNNNNNNNNNNNNNNNNNNNNNNNNNNNNNNNNNNNNNNNNNNNNNNNCCGAAAGUCUGGGGCCCCCUCCCAGGUAUACGUACGUUAAUACGUACAGGUCUUCGAGGGGGCAAAUCAAUCAGCGCCUGGCUCUUUUGUUUUUUAUUUUGAUCAAAUCUCGGCGCCUCGCUCAGCUUCUGCGUGCUAGCUAGCAUAGAAAAGUAAACAGAUUUGGUGGGCCUGGCCCAUAUUCGCACGUACAUGGUCACGUGGAGACCGGAGAGAAAAGGAAUCGUUCCAUUGAUUUUCUGUAACUUUGGAUUGGAUCAGCCGUUCCCUACCUUUUCUCCUCUUCCGCUGUACGUGUUCGUCUAAUCUCAUUGACUCUGUGACUGCGUCUCUGCCUCCUCACGAACGACGCGAGGACUGCGGCAGGUACAUCUGGUUGCGCCCUCUUCCUCUCUUCCCUCGCAUGAUCUUCGUCCUAUUUCUUUCUUUUCUCAUCCUGAUUCCCAAUUUCUCGAUCGAUUGACAGAUUGACAGAUUAACACGACAUUGUUUUUAGGGCGCUCAAAUCAUUGCGUCCACUUUGCCAGAUUAGAUUAUAUAGAGAAGGUAUUAUUCCAUGCCCUAGCAAAUUCUCAUUAUAUUAGAUGGUCUUCUGCACUUAAUCUAAUGUUUUAAUUAGUUUUGCGGUAAUUUUAAAAAUUAAUUGUUCUUUUCAAUUUCAGCAGGGUCAUGUCGAGUUCAGGUAGAAAGUAUACAUCCAGAAGUCAUAAAAGGAAAAAAGAAGGAGGCAGAUUAAGAGAAAGAAGCAUUGAGCGGAUCUCUUUUUAAAUAUUAUAAGAGCGAUACGAGCACGCCAAAAAAUCCAGACGAGUUGGCGAUAGUUCUUGCGGGUGACCAAACUAAUGGCAAUCAAGAAGAUGAUGGUCAUACUCCUACAGAAGGCAAUGUUGACGUCAACAUGGAUGAUAGCAAUGUGAGUGAUCAUGAGCCCAUAUUUAAUUCAUAUGCGGUAGAAUCUACUAGUGUUGAUGAGGAACAAGUUAGUGUGGAUAUUUAUGACCCAAGCAGUUGGGGUAAUCUUGAUAACAAAGCGAGGGACAUAUUAGUGGAAAAGGGGCCUAAAAUGGAAAAAGAAAACAAUAAAUAUCCUUUGGAUGAAAAUUCAAGACAUUUUUCGUAUAGCCAUUAUUACUCCAGAAAGAUGAGCAAUGGAGAGGUGCGUGAUACGAAAUGGUUAGUUUUUUCAAAACACACAAAGAAAGUGUUUCCUUUUCGCUGUAAGCUUUUCAAUUCUGAUAAAUGCAAGAGUGCAAUGGGGAAUGAUGGGUUUUGUGAUUGGAGGCAUAUUAAUGAAAGACUGAAAGAGCACGAAGCUAGUGAUUUUGCAUCUCAGAAUGUUAGGAGAAAUAUUUGAAGCUAUAUGUAAUACAUUAUGUGAUAUGCAUAAUCAUUUUGGAUGCACUUUCUUUGAUACAAAUUAUAUGUACAUACGAUGAUUAUUAAUAGGCAUUUAUACUAAGGGCCCCAAAGGGCCCCGGAUUGUCGUUUCGCCCCGGGCCCCCAAAAUCUUAGGACCGGCCCUGAAACCAGGAUAGCCAUAACCCGCGGAAUAAAGAUAGAUAGGCAACUAGACACCUAUCCUAUUACAUAUCCUAUUACAUGACCGCCACCCAAACCGGUUGAAGAUAGCCCGCGCUAUCGUCUCCCACCGGAUAGACCUAGUGACCAUACACUCCUUGGCAUCCGUCGGAGUGUGUACCGACCACAUACGGAUCAGUGUAGUGGCCGAAAAAAUAACUUGCAAGAAAUGAAUAUGUGUUGUUCUGUUAAAAAACCAAAUCGUUCCUACAGUUUCAUAAAGCCCAUAAUAAAGCACAUACUCCUAGAUGAAUAUGUUUCACUGUUUUUGGCUCAAUCCAUCUAGCCACGUCCCAAAUAACGUGUGGAUGGUAGUCACAAGAGCCCUUUUUUGCCUCUUAGGCCCGAAAUUAGCGCCGGCGGACCCAGGCCGAACCCGGUGCACUGGGGGGCGCCCAUGGGCGCCGAGGCAAUCAUUUUUGGCGCGAACGAACAACGGGCCCGCCGAGUCAGCGGCCCCCGCGUCAUCGUCCUCACAACGCCUUGGUAUCCCGCGGGGGAUCAAUGCCAAGACUGCCGCCGGUCAGCCUUCCAUUGAUUCCUCACGUGCCGGCGCGGUGCGGCGACGCGCCCCCCCGCCACGCGUACACAUAAUGCCGCCUCCCCCUCCCUCCACCGCUAUAUAAAGCUGCACCUCCCUCGCCGGAGGACGCACCCGCCCGCAGCCCCCUCUUCCCCCGUUCACAGCUGCCGCUGACGAACUCUUCCCUCUCUCUCCCCGUUCAAAGCUGCCGCAGACUAUGGGCGAGAGGUUCCUCGGCGAUGGGGCGGCAGCCAAUGGCUUCUGUCGUCGCUCGCUGCACGAGUUGGAAGCCCACCUCCUGUAUGAAGCCAACAUUCCGACGCCUCCCCACAUGCGCGCGUCGGGGCGGUGAAGGCUUAGCGCCGGGGGCAUCCCCGUGCCCCCGCUGCCCAACGUGACGCGCCCCGACAACUUCAACGACGAGGUUGAGCGCGUGCGGGCGUCGCUGACGGAGGAGCAGCGAGCCCUCCCGGAGUACGCCGCCGGCAACCACGAGGCGUGGGAGGCGUACUUCGGACAUCGAUAGGCGGCGCGGCUGGCCUCCACCAACAAUGCUCCUGUGGUGCGGGGCACCAAGAACAGCGACGGCCGCCGCCUGUGGUGGGGCGCCCUCGGCCGCACGUUCCACGCCGUCCUACAACACUUCGAGGGCGGCAACGAGACGCCGUUGACGUACCCUGCCGCCCCGGUCCCCCGCCGGAGCGGCGGUCAAUUUAUGCCGAGGAGGACCGCUUCCUCUUCCUCCUCUUCCCACUCCUCCUCCUUCUCCUCCUCCCACUCCUCCGGCUCGCCGGCACUCUUCAGUGUCAAGGCCGAGCCAGCAGAGACGCCGCUCGGCCGGCGCACCCGCAGCGCCAGCAUCGUCAUCAAUGAGGGCGGGCGCGCCUCCUCUCCGGCUCCUCCCCGCCUCAUCAAGCCGAAGAUGGACCCGGGGCUCGCCGCCGUGAAGACGGAGCCAGGCCUCGCCGCCGUGAAGAUGGAGCCGUGGCUCCACGACACGGCGGCCUUGAACUGGGCGAAAGAGGACUGGGCGCGGCUGGAAUUGGAUCGUCAGCGCCGCACCCUAGAGGAGAUCGCCACUUGGCGCCGGGGCCGCGACGAGGGAGGUGUCGUCGUUCUCGACGACAGCGACGGCGAUGCGCCGCCGCCCGUCCGCCAUGGCGACCCCGGGCAAGGGUCGAGCAGCGGCGCCCGCGUGAAGGAGGAGAAGGACGAUGACAACGGCGGCGACAACGGUGACUACGCCGCGUUCAGCGAGUUCUUCGGUUGUAGUCAUGGCCUUUGUUUUUUUAGUAAAUUUUAAAUUUGCUAUGUGAAAACUGCUUUAAGUCGCCGAAGUUUGUGUCCUGCUUGCCGAAUUUUAGCCGAAUAUCUUUCUAAAAAAGUUUAAAAUAGACGUCUUGGGCCAACCCUAGGGCGCGGCUGGGACCCUGAUCGGCCCUAGGCAAAUUUUAGCGCCGGUUCGCUCCUAGGCGGUGAAUUUUCGGAGCCCCUCCGAACGGCUGGGGUUACUCUAAAAACUAGCGGGGUAACCCAUGCAUUUGUGCGGCUAGACUCGAUAUCUGUUGUUUAAUUUGAAAUUUAUUGGCUUCAAGAUGUUGUUGUCUAAACGCAUGGGAUAUCAUUUCUUAGGUGAGCCUUUCCCGCCUGGGUGGUAAGUGUAAAUGAUAAAUCACCUUCAUUUCGGCAAAUCAUAGUGAGACAUGAAAGACGGGAACUCGUUAAUAUUUUGGUCCACAACUAUAUAUAUAAUGUUUAUUUUAUUUUUAAUAAAAAAUUUGUAAGUAUCCUAAGUAGUUUUGAAAAUUAUUACUAAGUGGAGUUAUAUGCUGGGACAUACAUAUUGAAAUUAGCUUUAUUUUUAGUUUUGUUUCAGAUUUCAUGUGUCAAACUAUUAGUGUAACUCGAGCAUUUGUGUAGCUAUAUAUGUUGUAUUGUUCCUUGCAAAAAAAGUAGUACUGUUAUAUAUGUAUUUUUCACAUAUGUAUUAUGAUCGUGUUGAUACGUUCAGGGUUGUAGAAAAGUCCAUAUCGCAAAAUAGAUGAUUGUUAUAGCUUUAUCGAGCUCAGGCAGCUAUUCUCCCUCUACCAAUUGUUACAUGAAUUAACCUAUCACAAUGUUAAAAUUUAUACAUCAUACAAAAUAAAUUAAAUAAGUUUAGCCAAUGCAUCUUGACGAAACAUAAUUGUACUUUGAUGGGAAUUGUAUGCAUCUAGUGAGCAGCUUGAUUCCAUGCAAAUAGAGGGUUGUAGUCUGUAUUGUGCAAGCAAAAUUAUAUAGUUUCAUGUUAAUUUCUUGUUUAGUUCAUCAAUCCCCCUUAUUUAUUCGUUGGAGUAUAUGUUCUCAAAGAGUUGAGGAGUUUCUAGUGAUGACCGAAUAUUAAUAUUUAUGGCUUAUGUCGAAACCAAAUGUUGUAUUGUAGUUUUAUUUACACUUAAUGCAAGAUUAGUCUCAGUUGCAUGUGUUGUAUUGUACUGGUAUUUACACUUAAUGCAAGAUUAGUCUCAUAUGCAUGCAUGUAUGCUUCCGCACACGCUCACCUUAUUAAUUUUUUAUUUUCUGAACUACCGAAAGUAAUGUAAUUAUCGGUGUACGUACAUUCAUCGAAAGUUUCCUAAACAGUAUUUCAUUCACUUUCAGUGGAAUCCGGCACUACGACGGCAUAAAUGAUUCUUCGACGACAUGAUGGUUCACUUAUUCUCUUCUCUAACUCUCUCAAUAUGGAAUUAAACUCAUUUCCCACGCAAAAAAUGGCAUUUUACACUUGAAAUAAUUUCUUGCAUCGAAUCUUUGUUCUUGUACCCACAUAACCAUUUUUUCCAUAUGAUAUGGACACAUGUGCACGUAAUAUCUUUCAUAUGAUAUUUAUUAUGUCCUUUAAAAUUGUAAUUCUUUUCAGCUAGCAACUUCUCGUAUUGCUUCUCACCUUUUUCAAGUUUGCUAUUGUUGGGGUAAUAGUCUUCCUAUACUGUAUACAGAUCGGACUGCUAUCCUCUAGCUAUGUUUUUUUUUCAAGAUUUUCCUCUAGCCAUGUCAACGUACGUGAAAUUAUUCAGUAUAUGUGAGCGCACUUGUUUUCUUUCCUCGUUUAUUCUCUCGCUAUGUUUUUUCUAAGACUUUCCUCUAGCCAUGUACGUCCGUGAGAUUGUUUAAUUAUUAGGUAUCCCACGGAAGAAAAAGAUCGUUAAUUAGCUAUGUGUAGCGUGGCUAUAUUUUCCUCUUCUAUUGCAAAAGAAAAAAAGAAGAAUCCAAACCGGACAUGGUUUCUAGUUGUCCUUAUGCACGUUAUGGUUGUUGCACUUUUGCAUCCCAGAUCCAUGUACGUGCCAGAACGUCUGUGCAAAACGAUGCCUGUACUAAUAUUUAUAUGUUACGUUACGUCUUAAAAUUCUAGCCCUUAAUGUUUAUAAUUAGUGGUUAAGAUAAUUUAAUCUGUGCGGACAAACGUGAUGGCUUGUUUGUCUUUUGUCUUAAUUAUAUAAUAAUAGAUAGAUUCUGAAUAGACAGUAGGUCAAUCUAUCACAAAGGAUUCCUGUGGAUGUGUGCUUUGAUGACAUGUGUGAGCAGAUGAUGAUGACCCUCGUACUGCGUACAUGCCCAUGUGGAUAUGGCAGCGGACGACUCAAUACAAUAUCGAAGAAGAUUACCAUGACCGUGACCUCGUAAACCGUGCCGCAGGAAGACCUCAGGAAGUCGGUCCAUUAAAAAGGGGUCAGUCUAAAGUCUGUUCCUGAUAGGAAACCAAAGAUGAGAGGGAACAAAUGAGCACGCAAAAAGCAGUAGAUGGGGGGCAUCAUGUGAGCGCGGGGUCGUACCAUUCAACCUGUUGUGAUUGUCAUCCUGCUCGUCAACAACCGCUAGCAAUCUUCAGCCCCCACCUAGUCGAGGCAACCUAACUGAUACUAACUUCCAACCUAGCAAGGUGUGACAGUGACCGAAUCCAUCACCAACAUUAGCUGGAGUUCAAGCAGAGACCAAGGGAAUUACGUUGUAACUGUAACCACUUAGAUAUGUACACAGAAGCAAGCAAACCAGUAGCUCCAACUUGUAGAUAAGCUAAAUGACGUAAGUAAGAGUAACGGAACUCCAUCCCCAAUUUUAGAUGUUGUUUACUUAAAGCCACAACCAUGAGCACGCAGUAAAAUGUCUGAACAACGGGAUAUAACCUACAGACACAGAAUCAAGUAACAGAGUGACAGGUAAUGAGCACGUGUACAUAGAUUCCGUAGGGUUCUUUUUUGGUGGUCAAGUGGAUUCAUCGGAAGAAGUGAAGAGAACACAAUGCCCAAUGCCUGGGAGAGAUUGCUCAAUCUCUUGGAAGGAUGCAUAUCCAACAGUUCAAAGGCCUCUGGUGCCUGUCCCAAGGACAUUGCUCAGUCAUCUACAAGUGUGAUUUUUCUUUGGGUCUGGUACGGUAGUGUAAACUGAGAAAAUUUUAAGUUGAAGUGUAGGUAUGGAAUGCAGGUGAUGUGCAAGGGCCAGCACAUGGUGCUACGUACCUGGCCGGUGCUGGUGGUGUUCCAGUGUGGAAAAGGGCUACACAGCUAAAGUAUGCAAGAAUCUCGAGCACAAAGGUGAUGUGUUAUGUCACAUCUUGAGUGCAAAAAAGACUUGGCACAAAGCUGAUGGGGUAUGUCAAAUCAGCGAGUCCGUGUCCAUGCCACAGGUGCACGUCAUGGGUGCCAACGUUGUGCAUCACGGAGUAAAAUUCUGAACGCUGCAGAUAAACUACACGUACCCGCUGUCUCAGCCACUGUAUAGAUGUGUCCUAGACGGGCCCAAUUUAAAUGAAGGUGAAUUCUAUUUCAGUCGAAUGAAAAAGAUUUUGUGUCGAAAAGGAGCAACUGCCAACCGCUAUUGCCAAAAAGGACCACCUCGGAGAUGAAAUGGCAGAAAAGACACCCGGCCGUGGUGGCAGGUGCGGCAGGCGACACGUGGCACCUGCCGCCACUACACGAGGCGGUCGCCCGCGUAUAACCGGAAUCGCUGGGUAGGACGGAAUGGGCUGGCGACGUGGGACCUACCGCCACGAUACGAGGUGGCAUGCGCUGGUGCUGCCGCACCGUGGCCAACAGGAAUUUUUGUCCAAAAGGACCACUAGCCCAACGAAAUUGAUAAAAAGGACCACAUGUGGUUAAAAGAGACAAAAAAGACCCCCUCAACUAUGACGGCAGGCGCACCAGCCGAUGUGUGGCACCUGCUGCCACCAGGGCAGGUGGCAGGCCGCGCAUAAUAGGGAGGCAGUCCCCGGACGGAACGGUGCUACGGAUGUGGGCCUUGUCGCCACCAUGCUAGGCGGCAGGACUGUUCCUGCAUGCGAUCGAGGCAGAGAUUCCCUGGCACCGAUUGAAGAAUUUGAUUGAUAGCGGCACUCACUAGUAGAAAAAGAGGCUUCCGUCCAGCCCCAUUAGUCGCGAAACUGUAGGAACCGCGACUAAUGAAGUCUUUAGUCGCGGUUCGGCAGAUGAACCGCGACCAAAUGCCUGGGCCCAGGGCGCUCGCGGGCUUUAGUCGCGGUUGGCCNNNNNNNNNNNNNNNNNNNNNNNNNNNNNNNNNNNNNNNNNNNNNNNNNNNNNNNNNNNNNNNNNNNNNNNNNNNNNNNNNNNNNNNNNNNNNNNNNNNNNNNNNNNNNNNNNNNNNNNNNNNNNNNNNNNNNNNNNNNNNNNNNNNNNNNNNNNNNNNNNNNNNNNNNNNNNNNNNNNNNNNNNNNNNNNNNNNNNNNNNNNNNNNNNNNNNNNNNNNNNNNNNNNNNNNNNNNNNNNNNNNNNNNNNNNNNNNNNNNNNNNNNNNNNNNNNNNNNNNNNNNNNNNNNNNNNNNNNNNNNNNNNNNNNNNNNNNNNNNNNNNNNNNNNNNNNNNNNNNNNNNNNNNNNNNNNNNNNNNNNNNNNNNNNNNNNNNNNNNNNNNNNNNNNNNNNNNNNNNNNNNNNNNNNNNNNNNNNNNNNNNNNNNNNNNNNNNNNNNNNNNNNNNNNNNNNNNNNNNNNNNNNNNNNNNNAAAAAAUAAAAGAAAAUAAUGGAAAUGUCAAAAAAAUAAAAGAAAAUAAGUUUCUCAUGUGAUAUGUGGUCUAGUUGUUGGGAAAAUUUGCAAAUGUGAAUUUUGACUUUAUUUGCAAAAUCUCUCUGAAAUUUGUAAAAAUGGGCAUAACUUUUGCAUACUAACUCGGAUGAAAAAGUUUUUUAUAUGAAAAAUCAUCUACUCGAAAAGUUACAUCCAAAUUUAACAGGAACCCCGUUAAACAUUUUCAAAAUCCUCAAAAACCUAAUAGAAAAAAAGUUACGGGGCUUGUAAGAUCUAGAGUGGAAAAAAUUGAAAAAUAUUCAAACAGUGGGCAAACUAUGGUCAAACAAUGGUCAAACUAAUUAUUCUAGAAUAUUAGUGUUACUAAAUAAUUAUUUUAAUUAUUUCAAUUUUGGUCAAAUCUGGUCAAACUGUGGUCAACUGUGGUCAAACUGUGGUCAAACAAUGGUCAAACUAAUUAUUCAAGAAAUAUUAGUGUUACUAAAUAAUUAUUGUUUUUUAAAACAAUAGUUUCAAACUCAAACAGUGAAAUGUGUCACUUCAUGCUCAAGCAAAAUUCCUGAAGGUUAAUAGGAUUGACAUCUUAUUAUUGUCAGCAAAACAACAAGUGCAGACUUGGAGCGUGGGAGAAUAGAACCCGGAAGUUAAGCGUGCUUGGGCUGGAGUAGUGAGAGGGAUGGGUGACCGGUUGGGAAGUUAGAUGAUUUGGAAUGAUGAGGGGUGAUAAAAGAAUAAAUUGAGAAGUGAUGAGGGGUGGUGAUUAGAGACUAGAGGUUAAAAUAAUUCAGAAAUUUGAAAAAAAAAAUUUCAAUUUUUUUUUCAAAAACCUCUGGCGGCCUUUAGUCGCGGUUAGCCACAAGAACCGCGACUAAAGGUCCUCCGCCCACGUGGACGGGCCUUUAGUCGCGGUUCUUAAGCAACCGCGACUAAAGGGGGGGGCCUUUAGUCGCGCCCGUCUGGUCGCGGUUGCGCAACCGCGACUAAUGGCAGUUGCGAACCGCGACCAAAGGUCCUUUUUCCACCAGUGACUGAUUGGCGCGCAGUAGCACUGGAAUAUUCGUGGCACUGACUUCUUGCCGUUUCUUUAGCUGCCGUUGUCGCUUUGUGUCACUGAUUCCCCGAUUGCUUGAUUCCCUCGCUACUGGAGUAAUUUGCAGACGGCGCUAAUUGCCGCGGCCGACGAGACAGAUUCCCACGCGCGGGAAUCCGAUGUCGUUUCCUUUCUUUUUGCCCCGCUGCUGCCCGGAAAUCACUCAUUCAGUGUUGGCUUUUGCUUCAGCAGACGCGACGGCAGCCAGGGAAUCACUCACUCAACACUGACUUUUGCUUCAGCGGAAGGGACGGCUGCCCGGGAAUCACUCACUCAGCGCUGGCUUUUGCUUUAGAGGACGCGACGACACUGCAGGAAUUCACUCACUUGCUGUGCGAAUUCGAGGCUGAGGUAGGUGAGUUUUAACAUGUUGUGCUGACACUACAGGGAUCCUCUUCCUUUUAUAUGUUAUCCUAUGCUUUUGCUCCGUGCGAAAGCACACCCUCUCUGGCCUCCUCUUCUACUCUCUAAGUCUCUAAGAACACCGAGAAAGAAAAACUCACUAGGCACUUUAACUCGUGAUUUAGCGCGAUUUGGAGUUGGAUAUUGAAUAUGCUGAAGUUGAACAAAAGAUAGAUCAAGGUAAGAUCUAUCCUUUUUGUUGGUUUCGUUCGCAUGCAUGAUUUUUUUACUCUUUUAGAUUAGUUCAUAACUAUGUGUUAUCUGUUGUGUUAGGCAUUAUUUCAUCACCUUUUGUGUCAUUUAAAGCGCCAGGAGUAGGAUUUGCCUAGCGAAGUGAAUUACGAAGUUGAUCAAUGUAUGAGCUUUGCAAUAAAAUGAUUUUUUUUGUGCAUGCACGAUGUUAAUUAGUUAGUCUUUUAGCUAGUCAUUAGCUAUGCGAUGUUAGUGCUUAAAGUUAGAAAUAAUUUCAAAUUACAUAUGUUGCAUUUAUACUAUUUUUUUAGAAGAGUAGGUUGAAGAUGUUGUAUCAAUGUUAGCGGCAUCCAUUAGUAUUAAUCGUAAUUAGUACCUUUAUUGAACGUUUAGGUUCGGUUCGAGCCGGAAUUCGGACAACAAAUAUUUGACGGUAUUGUAGAUAAACAUUAGGCUUUUAAAAUGCAUAAAUUUAGUUUGACAUACGAGAAGAUCUUAAUAUGGUAAUUAAGAAAAAGUUUGUACAUACUGUAAUUGUUCAUUGCAUGUGCUAUGUUAUUUCAUGUGGUAUGUUUAUUAAUAAGUAUAUAGUUAGGAAACCGUAGGUCUACUUGGUUAUGUCGCAAUAAUCUAAAUUUUCUGUGUUAAGAUUACAUGCUAAUGUACUUAAUGAUGUAUGUAAUUAGGUAAAAUAAUUUAUCUUAGUAGCAAACAAGGAGGAGAUGAAUGAUUGAAGAAUUUGUAUUUCAAUCUUCGCUGUCCUUUUUGAGGUGAUGACCACAUACAUGCAAGUGCUAUUUUCAUACUUUUGGUAACAGAAAGAAAAAUCCGUGUGUAAUAUUUAAUUUUCAUACUUUUCAUACUCGUGAUGCACCUUUAGAUAUUUAAUUUAAAUUGAAUCUCUUUGUAUUUUUGUAAUCGUGAUGUUAUCUUCAGAUAAUUAAUGUAAAUUGUAUCUCUCUGUAUUUUUAGGUUAAUUUGGGUCUUCAGAUAAUUGGCAUUUGUAUUUGUGUCUUUAGAUGUUUAUUUUUAUUUAUAUGUUUGUGUGCAGGUUACGGCUGAAGUGCGAGUGCUUUUGUAGGGGCCCCAUGACGCCGGCCACCAUUGCCACCUAUUGUUGAAUCCAAAUAAUGAUAAUGAUCCUCGAACUUUCAGACUUCGAACCGUAAGUAACACAUGGUCAAUACACGAUUAUUUCAUUCCUCACGUUGAGGCUUAUGGACUACAUGGUUAUGCUAGGCUCACAUCAUCCGAAGACCAAUUACGUUCGGACGCAUCCCUUUUGACAUCCCUCAUUGACUGGUGGAGACCUGAAACCCACACCUUUCACUUUCGUUUUGGGGACCUUGCAUCUACACUGAAAGAUGUUUCUAGGAUCACUGCUCUACCAAUUAGAGGUGAGUCGUUAGUCUCUGAAUGAGUUUCUCCAUCUUGGGCAUUAAAUAUCUCAGCCCGUCUUGGGAUGACAAUGCCAGAAUCACAACGUUCUGGUGGCACUUGGGGCGUCCCACUCGCCUAGCUUCAUGCAAACUUUAAUUGUUUAUCUAACCAGGCUGAUUCUCAGAUGAUGUUACCCUAUAAACCACCAGCAGUUUGAGAUGCUUGAUGGGUCACUAGUCACAUGGAACCCGUGGACUCAGGAGCAGUUACAGAUGGUCUUCGAUAUACGACCCAUCACAACAGGAUGCGUGAGCGAUAGUGCAUUCUGGCCGACUAGCUGCAACUUAUUAUUCAUGUGGUGUGUUGAGCCUUACAAUUCAGAGCGUGUCAUGAGACAGUUCGGUCUCUAUCAGGAUAUUCCACCACCUUUUCCAAGAUGUGUUGACGAGGAAACCCAUAAGUAAGAUGUGACCUCCCUAAAUAGUUAGUGUCUUCUUUAAUGUACUAAGUUGACACUUUGUUACAUAAUUUGCAGGCUGAGCAAUAUGGGCAAGGGUGGUUACAAUUGAAGGGCACACAACAUUGAAUGGUUACACAAGUGGGAAAAUGAUGUGCUAGAAGAUAUAGUGCAUCAACUUAGGUAAAUUCUAUUUACUGUAUUUUAUAAUGAUGACCAUACAAUGCGUGAAGAUGCUUUGCUUUCAUCUCAAAGGUCGAUAUAAAAUACAGUAAAAUACAGUGAGUCUGCUUUCUAUUUAAUGUUCGAAGUCUGAAAGUUCGAAGAUGCUUUUAGUACAUGAAAGUGAAGCAUCUUCACGCACCGUAUGGUCAUCAUUAUAAAAUACAGUAAAUAGAAUUUACCUAAGUUGAUGCACUAUAUCUUCUAGCACAUCAUUUUCCCACUUGUGUACGCAUUCAAUGUUGUGUGCCCUCCAAUCGUAACCACCCUUGGCCAUAUUGCUCAGCCUACAAAUUAUGUAACAAAGUCUCAGUUUAGUAAAUUAAAAAAGACACUAACUAUUUAGGGAGGUCACAUCUUACUUAUGGGUUUCCUCGUCAACACAUCUUGGAAAAGGUGGUGGAAUAUCCUGAUAGAGACCGAACUGUCUCAUGACACGCUCUGGGUUGUAAAGCUCAACACACCACAUGAACAAUAAGUUGCUGUGAGUCAGUCAGAAUGCACUAUCGCUCACGCAUCCUGCCGUGAUGGGUCGCAUUUCGAAGACCAUCUGUAACCGCUCGUGAUUCCACGGGUUCCAUGUGACUAGUGACUCAUCAAGCAUCUCAAAAUGUUGGUGGUUAUAUAGGGUAACAACAUUUUGCAACAUUUGGAGACCAUUUUUUCCGUGCCUUUGUCAACCUGCUGGCCAUUGUUACAUUGCCCUUGCUACAGUUGUACCGGUGUAUGGGAUUUAGUAUACGAGGUCGUCCAACAGGGAGGUAUUCCCAGUACCACAACUGUAGAAACUCGUAGGCGACACAAAGUAACGGAGCUUUUCUGUGAAUGAAAUUUUUUGUGUGGCAUCACACAAGUCUCUAUAUGUAUGAGAUAGCAUGGCAGAACCGAAGCUGUAUUUUGGAUGCUGAGGUAAAGAUUCAUCUACCAUAUUCUCUACAAAGUAGAUGAGACCAAGGAGAACUAUGUCCCCGUGUGAAUUUGGAAACAUAGUCCCGAGGAGCCACAACAAAUAUGCAAACAAAUGUCUUUUCCUCAUCUCAGAAUCAGCUGGUUAGAUAAACAAUGAAUGUUUGCACGAAGCCAGGCGAGUGGGACGCCCUGAGGGCCACCAGAACAUUGUGAUUCUGGCAUUGUCAUCCCAAGACGGGCUGAGAUAUUUAAUGCCCAAGAUGGAGACACUCACAGAGAAACUAACGGCUCACCCCUAAUUGGUAGAGCAGUGAUCAUAGAAACAUCUUUCAGUGUAGGUGCAAGCUCCCCAAGAUGAAAGUGAAAGGUGUGGGUUUCAGGUCUCCAUCGGUCAACGAGGGAUGUCAAAAGGGAUGGGUCCGAACGUAAUUAGUCUUUGGAUGAUGUGAGCCUAGCAUAACCAUGUAAUCCAUAAGCCUCAAGGUGAGGAAUGAAAGAAUCGUGUAUUGACCAUGUGUUCUUUACGGUCGAAGUCUGAAAGUCCGAGGAUCAUUAUCAUUAUUUGUGUUCAAGAAUAGGUUGCAACGGUGGCUGGCAUCGUGGGGUCCCUGCAAAAGCACUGGCACUUCAGCCAUAACCUGCACACAAACAUACAAAUAAAAAUAAACAUCUGAAGACAUAAAUACAAAUGCAAAUUAUCUGAAGACACAAAUUAACUUAAAAAAUACAAAGAGAUGCAAUUUUUUUUGACUGGGAAAGAGAUACAAUUUACAUUGAUUAUCUGAAGUUAACAUCACGAUUACAAAAAUACAAAGAGAUUCAAUUUAUUAGAUAUCUGAAGGUGCAUUACGAGUAUGAGAAGUAUGAAAAAUAAAUAUUACACAUGGAUUUUUCGUUGUGCCAUCAAAAGUAUGAAAAUAGCACUCACAUGUAUGUGGUCAUCACCUCAAGAAGGACAGCGAAGAUCGAAACACAAAUUCUUCAAUCACAUCAUAUCCUCCUUGUUUGCUACUAAGAUGAAUUAUUUUACCUAAUUACAUACAUCAUUAAGUACAUUAGCAUGUAAUCUUAACAUAGCAAAUUUAGAUUAUUGCGACAUAACAAGGUAGUCCUACGAUUUCCUAACUAUAGACUUAUUAAUAAACAUACCACAUGCAAUGAACAAUUGCAUUACAAACUUUUUCUUAAUUACCAUAUUAAGAUCUUCUCGCAUGUCAAACUAAAUUUAUGCAUUUUAAAAGCCUAAUGUUGAUCUACAAUACCGACAAAUAUUUGUUGUCCAAAUUCCGCCUCUAACCCAACCUAAAUGUUCAACAUCUUAUAUCUUAUAUGUACUAAUUGGAGGCACCAUACGAGUAACCACGUUAAUUCUCGGUAACUAAGAAAACUAGCCAUCCGAUAGCCAAAUUAAGUAUUUUCCACCGUUAGAUGUGAUGCCUCAAGGAGUCCUUGAAUUAUGUCCCACCUCAAACCACCUACAGUUAAAAAAAGUAGUUCACGAAAAAAUACAGCAGGAGUCGUUGAAUUCUAUCCCACGUUAAACCAUCUACAACAUAAAAUCCCCUAAAAAAAUCUACAAUAAAAAAAACAGUUCAAAAAAGAAAUACAGCGAAAAAAAAGAAUCCAUCGCUAGCAAUCUCCUUCCACCGCUGAUCCAACCCUCCCACGUACAUCCUAAAAAAACAACCAACGCACCGAGCCCUAGCGCUGCUUCUCCUAAUCUAGUUCUCCUCCCGUCCAUCUCUCCCAAAAAAAGUUCUCCUCCCGUCCAAUCUGAAUCCCAAGAAGUUAACCCCACCAAGGCAACAAACCCUAGCGCUCCUAGCUACUUCUCCUGCUGUCUAAUCUACUGUCUUCCAUAGCAGUCCUCUAAAAGAUCCAACUAGCUUCUUCCCCAUCCCCUUCCUCCAUGAUCUUUGAAUCUCUACUACCCUAACCUUUUAACCUUUUAGCUGCCAUACCACGGCCAAACUGCAAUGACGUGGAGAAGGAGGUAUUUUUGGAUUAGUAGAUGAGUCAGACCAAACUGCAAUGAAGUUGAGAAGGAGGUAUUUUUGGAUUAGUAUUUAGUAGAUGAGUCAGAUCUAGGAGGAGGAGGACUGUACUAAGGACAGUUUCAAACAAAUCAGGAAGCAGCUGUUGUCAGGCAUUCAUGAGGCCACCAAGAAAAGGAGCUACUGUGUACAGAUGGCACAACUAUUCGAAACAUUGUAGGUGAUACACAACAUUGCUUCUGACUUCUCAAACCCAACUAAUUGUUCUCCCAAAUCCAUCUCACGGUUCGGUCUUCUAUCUACAUGUGUUUUAUUACAUAUACAGACUGUUGUUAUUUAAUUUAAUGUUCCAUGUUAUCAGAGGGACUGGAAUCUGUUGGGGACAAUUUUGCAGCCGUACGAAAUUUGCUCGCAAUAAUUUGUAGGCCUCUUCAUGAAUAAUACUAAUUAACUGAUAUUUCAUCUGGGCAACUAUAUUUUUGACACACACAAUUUUUUCCAUCAUACUUUAGCUUUCUAACUAUUUUUUGUGGAAACAGACCUGAGUUCUAUUAGUGGGAAAUCCAAGGACCAUGUCCUCUGUUGCGAGUGUUCCAUGCAGUUCGACAACAUCUGCAACAGCAGCGUGAGGUGUCUUCUUCUUUUUCUUCUUCAUGGAGUCAAUUUGUUUUCCUAAGUAUCAGUUCUAUCUGUGGAGAUGACAACCGUGUAUCUUUUAUCUUCCACAAAGAUUGAUUUUAUAACUUCUCUCCUUUUUGUUGCACUAAUUUUCUGAUUGGUUGAAGUAUACCAUUUAUUUAUUUAAGUGGAAUAAUUACUGGUGGUUAUUGGUUGAUAAACUUUUACUUACCUAAGUACUCCUUUUGUGCAUCCAUGUUAUAAAAAAACCAAUCUUUAUUCUCCUAAACUAACUACGUCAUAGGAGUUGAGAUCUCACAAAAAAACAAUGUUAUAGGAGUCCAUAUCUCACAAGGAACAGGACCAUCACCACGUUUUUACUAAAACAAGACCAUCACCAGGUUCCUCUCCGUUCAGGUAUAGAUUCAACCUGAUGCGCUGCUGCCAGGACUUUUUCCACAACCAAAAUCCAUGGUAGCUCCUCCUCUUUUCUUGCGUCCAAUAAAAGCACGAUCGAAGUCUCAUCCAAGAAAACUGGUGGCAGCCGACCCAGCUGAUGCUGCAGAUGGGCGUGCCAUGUGGGAGGUGCGCCGGUGGCUGGGAUCCAUGUGAGCAGUUCUACCAUCCUCUAUCUCUCCAUUCCAUAUUUUAAUGUCAUCUUCGACCAUCCGUACUGCAUCCAUCAACAAGAAUAUGACUCAAUCAAUCCAUCCCCUCCCGUCCAACCUUAAAUCGUAUCUAUAUUCUAAGUUUUUCAAUUUAAGAUGGCUGAUGCAUGGGCUGAAGAUGUGUAUAACACUCUAAAUCCAAUUUGAGUGGAUCUAUAAUGUCUGAUCAAGAAAUUGACCUUUUUCCAUGUCUAUCUUGCAGCACUUCUGUUCACCAGAUUGUAUAUUGGAGGGAGGGGAGGAGAACCUGCAGGGGUGAUCUGUACGAGCAUCUUUCCGACGAUGACGACGUUUGGUUGGGUUCCCUUGGUAGCACGGGCAUGAGAUCACCCAACUCCUCGAUCAAUCCCUGCUGUCAAGAUCCUGCAAGUCUUGCUUGGCUAUCAGCUGUAGUACAGGUUGGCUUUCUCUUGCUUUGGUUGUCUGCGUUUUAAUGGACGUUUCCUCAUCUCACUACCCAAAGGGAAACUAGAUACAUUGCGUGAUGCAGAUCAAUAGAGAGUAGACCAGGUAGGCAGGAUAAAAAUAUGAAAUAAUCAUGUUUGUUCUUUGUUUGAUGUUUUCUUGGUCUGCACACAUGCUUCUCUAAUAGUUCCCAACGGAUUAGAGGAAUUGGCUUCAUGCAGAUAGACAGAAAUAUGUUUGUGAUCAGUCAAAGAGAAUGAAAACAUUUACUGAAAUCUUUAUUUGUGGAUCCUAUGAAUUACAUUGAUUGGAAGUCCAACGAUCAAUCUCAUUUUAGAAAGAACUAUAUUUAGAGGCAUAUGUGCUAUUAGAUUCUUUAUCUCUCAAAUUCAUGCCUUCUAUACGUACUGAAUUUAAAAAGCUGGACAAGAGGCAACGCUGCCAACAAAACAUCAUACUAUACUGGGGAAAGACAUCACAUUCUCUCUCUUUCUUUUCACAUGAUUGGCUGAGUAUUAAUAAUAGUCCUCAUGGUUGCACGGUGAGAUUAUCUUCAGCAAAAGAUAUUUGAAUCAGUGGUGGAUCAAUGACAACGUACAAGUGCCUUGAUGACAGCUUUUCAUGUUACAGUAUACAGCCUCAGCCAUGCAAGCAACAAUGGUAACUAAUAAUUGUACCAUGUAGUCUAGAGUCUAGACUGGAGUAGCGCAUAGACGCAUAGUAAUAUUUGAUUAUUAAUUUCUGCAGGCAACCAAGGUAAUGACGUUGUAGUCUUGGGUAAUCCUUCUAUUUAAUUAGCUAUUUUGCACAAUUGUUCAUACAUAUAUGUAUGUGCAUGGAACAACUCAUUGUUAAGAACACAGAACAUCAUUAAAUCCAGAAAUCCGUAUACGUACAAAGAAGGAAAAACAAUGAGCUAUCUGUAUGGAUGAUGCGUGACAAUGUUCUCAUAUUUUCAUAUUUACAGCCAGUGACUAAAAAAGCAAUGAGAUAUUUGUACACUUAGGAGUCCAGUGACUAAAAUAUACGUCUUAGAAAAAAUAUUUAGAGAUCCCCAGUUCAAUAUAUUAUUUCUGUAAUAAACUGAUGAUUAACUAAGGGCAUAAAUAAUAAAUUCAAGGCAUCUAUCCAACAUUUAUGGAAAUAAAACAUAAUUAACAAAGAGAAAAAUCAUACAUUUAAUUUAGUGUCAUUCCACUUCAGCAUUGGUAGAAAUAAAGUUAGGGUAACUAUUCAUUUUUAAUAUAGGCAAAUGUGUUUUUUAUGGUUUCGGGAAUUGCAUGUAUUACAUGUAGGACAACGUGCAUAAAUUUGUUCCCGGCGACCAAAACAUGAAAGCAAAUGAUUGCCCUCUCAUCUUGACACAAUAAUAUGCCUCUGCAGGAAUCACGAAAAAACAUAUUCAACAUAUUUGUGGAUAAUAAAAUGAUAUUUCAUGAAGAAUCAUAAAGAAAUAUAAGAUUCCCAUAUAUUUUGCAAAUUGUGUAUUUUCAAUGCACCUCACAAUCUGUUACAAGUAAACAUAGAUUCCCAGAAAUUAUAUAAUUUUAAAAUUUUAGAUCGUUAAAGGAAAAUGUAUAUAAAACGAACUUCCCAUUUGCAACUAUGUGGACCAGCAAUACCGCCUUCAUAUUCAUGUCAAAUAAAUAACUUAUUUGAAAAUUAUGAGAAAUGGGACGACCAAAAGGGAAAAAUUCAUGCAAACCAUCUAAUCACAACUUCAUCAAACAAUUGUAAUCCUAUUUUCCCGGGAUCAUUGAACAAAAUUACAUGUUUAUAACAUUAUUAUUCUUCCCUGAAACUUCACUUCUUCAGUUUCAUAAGUCAUAAAUAGUAAACAUUAGCUAGCCCGUGCUGGGGCACGGGUUGAUGACUAGUAAGUACUAAUUAUGAUUAAUACUAAUGGACGCAGCUAACAUUGAUACAACAUCUCCAACCUACUGUUCUAAAAAAAUAGUAUAAAUGCAACAUAUGUCAUUUCAAAUUAUUUCUAACUUCUAAGCAAUAACAUCGCAUAUCUAAUGACGAGCUAAAAUACUAACUAAUUACCUUGAUCUUCAACUUUGUAGUUCACUUCGCUAGGUAAAUCCUACUCAUGAAGCUCUAAAUGUCUGGAAAAGGUGGUGAAAUAAUGCCAGUCCUGCACAUGCAGCUGUAGCCACGACUUCCAUCAAUGCACUCAGCAUCUUUGACGUCACAGACAUUGGCUGUACUAUCAUGGCACUCGGCAUACUUGCCGGUGCAAGCAUAGUGUGUCAUGUUUUGCUCGGCAGCAAUGCAGUUGGAUUCGUCAAUUAUCUACCACAAUAGUUGAAAGACAGUCGGCCAAUCACUAGUUAUGCUGAUUCUAUCCCACGGUUGAGAGAUCUUCCUAGAGCGUGCAUCAAUGUUGCUUUUGCUUUGGUUGUAGACAAAUUUGAACCGAAAACUGCCAUCACCAUCCACAUCAACACGACAGCACCCCGAGGUAUUUUUACAGUUGUGCAUAGCCACCAUCUCUGGGAUGUUUGGAUCCAGGCACACAGUGCUGCAUAUCAACAUGGUGGCGUCGUCUCCGAUAGAGUAUACAUCCAGGUCACGCCGGUAAUCUUUAGAACAGCGGCCCUGAGAGAGAAGGACCCCCCAGGAGGUACCAAAGACAAGUUGUAAACACUUACACCA